RNAcentral lists this ribosomal RNA (254 nucleotides) under uncultured bacterium. Its description in RNAcentral is "partial 16S ribosomal RNA". It matches the Rfam family "Bacterial small subunit ribosomal RNA", at positions 524 to 777 of the family's 1533-position model. The record is from RNAcentral.
UACGAAGGGGGCUAGCGUUGCUCGGAAUCACUGGGCGUAAAGGGUGCGUAGGCGGGCAGGUAAGUCCGUGGUGAAAUCUCUGAGCUUAACUCAGAAACUGCCAUGGAUACUAUUUGUCUUGAAUAUUGUGGAGGUAAGCGGAAUAUGUCAUGUAGCGGUGAAAUGCUUAGAUAUGACAUAGAACACCAAUUGCGAAGGCAGCUUACUACACAGUUAUUGACGCUGAGGCACGAAAGCGUGGGGAUCAAACAGGA